This 852-nucleotide ribosomal RNA is filed under the name Wolbachia endosymbiont of Medythia nigrobilineata. RNAcentral describes it as "bacterial SSU rRNA". It matches the Rfam family "Bacterial small subunit ribosomal RNA", at positions 93 to 983 of the family's 1533-position model. Lineage: Bacteria; Pseudomonadati; Pseudomonadota; Alphaproteobacteria; Rickettsiales; Anaplasmataceae. The record is from RNAcentral.
UAGUGGCAGACGGGUGAGUAAUGUAUAGGAAUCUACCUAGUAGUACGGAAUAAUUGUUGGAAACGGCAACUAAUACCGUAUACGCCCUACGGGGGAAAAAUUUAUUGCUAUUAGAUGAGCCUAUAUUAGAUUAGCUAGUUGGUGGAGUAAUAGCCUACCAAGGCAAUGAUCUAUAGCUGAUCUGAGAGGAUGAUCAGCCACACUGGAACUGAGAUACGGUCCAGACUCCUACGGGAGGCAGCAGUGGGGAAUAUUGGACAAUGGGCGAAAGCCUGAUCCAGCCAUGCCGCAUGAGUGAAGAAGGCCUUUGGGUUGUAAAGCUCUUUUAGUGAGGAAGAUAAUGACGGUACUCACAGAAGAAGUCCUGGCUAACUCCGUGCCAGCAGCCGCGGUAAUACGGAGAGGGCUAGCGUUAUUCGGAAUUAUUGGGCGUAAAGGGCGCGUAGGCUGGUUAAUAAGUUAAAAGUGAAAUCCCGAGGCUUAACCUUGGAAUUGCUUUUAAAACUAUUAACCUAGAGAUUGAAAGAGGAUAGAGGAAUUCCUGAUGUAGAGGUAAAAUUCGUAAAUAUUAGGAGGAACACCAGUGGCGAAGGCGUCUAUCUGGUUCAAAUCUGACGCUGAAGCGCGAAGGCGUGGGGAGCAAACAGGAUUAGAUACCCUGGUAGUCCACGCUGUAAACGAUGAAUGUUAAAUAUGGGAAGUUUACUUUCUGUAUUACAGCUAACGCGUUAAACAUUCCGCCUGGGGACUACGGUCGCAAGAUUAAAACUCAAAGGAAUUGACGGGGACCCGCACAAGCGGUGGAGCAUGUGGUUUAAUUCGAUGCAACGCGAAAAACCUUACCACUUCUUG